AGGGUUUGAUCCUGGCUCAGAACGAACGCUGGCGGCGUGGAUUAGGCAUGCAAGUCGAGCGAGGACGGGGGCUUCGGCCCUCGAACCGAGCGGCGAAAGGGUGAGUAAUGCAUAGGCAAUCUGCCCGAAAGUCCGGAAUAAUCGCUGGAAACGGCGACUAAUGCCAGAUGGCCCGAACCGGGGGCAUCCCUGGUUCGGUAAAGGGGGGGACCUUCGGGCCUCUCGCUUUCGGAGGAGCCUAUGUCCUAUCAGCUUGUUGGUGGGGUAACGGCCCACCAAGGCGAUGACGGGUAGCCGGACUGAGAGGUUGACCGGCCACACUGGGACUGAGACACUGCCCAGACUCCUACGGGAGGCUGCAGUCGAGAAUCAUCCGCAAUGGGCGAAAGCCUGACGGUGCGACGCCGCGUGGAGGAUGAAGGCCCUCGGGUUGUAAACUCCUGUCACGUGACGAGAAUGGUAAGGGGUCAAUAGCCUCUUGCUUGACAGCUCAUGAGAGGAAGUCACGGCUAACUCUGUGCCAGCAGCCGCGGUAAUACAGAGGUGGCUAGCGUUGUUCGGAAUCACUGGGCAUAAAGGGCGCGUAGGCGGUUUGGCAAGUCGGUUGUGAAAGCCCUCGGCUCAACCGAGGAAUUGCAUCCGAUACUGCCAGACUAGAGUGCGGGAGGGGAGAGUGGAACUCCUGGUGGAGCGGUGAAAUGCGUAGAUAUCAGGAGGAACGCCGGUGGCGAAAGCGACUCUCUGGUCCGUUACUGACGCUGAGGCGCGAAAGCCAGGGGAGCGAACGGGAUUAGAUACCCCGGUAGUCCUGGCCCUAAACGAUGAGCACUAGGUAGUGGGGGGUCCGAUCUCUUCACUGCCGGAGCAAAUGUGUUAAGUGCUCCGCCUGGGGAGUACAGUCGCAAGGCCGAAACUCAAAGGAAUUGACGGGGGCUCACACAAGCGGUGGAGGAUGUUGCUUAAUUCGAAGCAACGCGAAGAACCUUACCUGGGCCUGACAUGUAGGUGGUACGGACCCGAAAGGGCGAGGACCUGGUUUACCAGGAGCCUACACAGGUGUUGCAUGGCUGUCGUCAGCUCGUGUCGUGAGAUGUUGGGUUAAGUCCCGUAACGAGCGAAACCCUUAUCGUUAGUUGCCAGCGGGUCAUGCCGGGGACUCUAGCGAGACUGCCGGUGUCAAACCGGAGGAAGGUGGGGACGACGUCAAGUCAUCAUGGCCCUUAUGCCCAGGGCUGCAAACGUCCUACGAUGGUCGGUACAAAGGGAAGCAAGACCGCAAGGUGGAGCGAAUCCCAUAAAGCCGGCCCCAGUUCGGAUUGUGGGCUGCAAUUCGCCCGCAUGAAGCCGGAAUCGCUAGUAAUCGCGGAUCAGCACGCCGCGGUGAAUAUGUUCCUGAGCCUUGUACACACCGCGU
RNAcentral lists this ribosomal RNA (1414 nucleotides) under metagenome. RNAcentral's name for it is "bacterial SSU rRNA". It matches the Rfam family "Bacterial small subunit ribosomal RNA". The record is from RNAcentral.